GAUGAAGAACGCAGCAAAAUGCGAUACUUGGUGUGAAUUGCAGAAUCCCGUGAACCAUCGAGUUUUUGAACGCAAGUUGCGCCCGAAGCCUUUUGGCCGAGGGCACGUCUGCCUGGGCGUCACGCAUCGCGUCGCACCCCACAAUUCUCCGUAAAGGGAACAUGUGUUUUGGGGGCGGAUAUUGGUCUCCCGUGCUCAUGGCGUGGUUGGCCGAAAUAGGAGUCCUUUCGAUGGACGCACGAACUAGUGGUGGUCGUAAAAACCCUCGUCUUUUGUUUCGUGCUGUUGCUCGCAAGGUAAACUCUUUAAAAACCCCAAUGUGUCGUCUCUUGACGACGCUUCGACCGCGACCCCAGGUCAGGCGGGACUACCCGCUGAGUUUAAGCAUAUCAAUAAGCGGAGGA
RNAcentral lists this unclassified non-coding RNA (404 nucleotides) under soil metagenome. RNAcentral describes it as "partial contains 5.8S ribosomal RNA, internal transcribed spacer 2, and large subunit ribosomal RNA". The stretch from base 1 to 122 matches the Rfam family "5.8S ribosomal RNA", at positions 35 to 154 of the family's 154-position model. The record is from RNAcentral.